UGCCGCGUGCAGGAUGAAGGCCUUCGGGUUGUAAACUGCUUUUGUACGGAACGAAACGGCGAGCUCUAAUACAGUUUGCUAAUGACGGUACCGUAAGAAUAAGCACCGGCUAACUACGUGCCAGCAGCCGCGGUAAUACGUAGGGUGCGAGCGUUAAUCGGAAUUACUGGGCGUAAAGCGUGCGCAGGCGGUGAUGUAAGACAGAUGUGAAAUCCCCGGGCUCAACCUGGGACCUGCAUUUGUGACUGCAUCGCUAGAGUACGGCAGAGGGGGAUGGAAUUCCGCGUGUAGCAGUGAAAUGCGUAGAUAUGCGGAGGAACACCGAUGGCGAAGGCAAUCCCCUGGGCCUGUACUGACGCUCAUGCACGAAAGCGUGGGGAGCAAACAGGAUUAGAUACCCUGGUAGUCCACGCCCUAAACGAUGUCAACUGGUUGUUGGGUCUUCACUGACUCAGUAACGAAGCUAA
RNAcentral lists this ribosomal RNA (467 nucleotides) under Comamonadaceae bacterium. RNAcentral's name for it is "bacterial SSU rRNA". It matches the Rfam family "Bacterial small subunit ribosomal RNA", at positions 395 to 855 of the family's 1533-position model. The record is from RNAcentral. Lineage: Bacteria; Pseudomonadati; Pseudomonadota; Betaproteobacteria; Burkholderiales; Comamonadaceae.